This 481-nucleotide ribosomal RNA is filed under the name uncultured bacterium. RNAcentral's name for it is "bacterial SSU rRNA". It matches the Rfam family "Bacterial small subunit ribosomal RNA", at positions 35 to 507 of the family's 1533-position model. The record is from RNAcentral.
GACACGGCUGGCGGCGUGCCUAACACAUGCAAGUCGAGCGGAGUCGAUCGACGGAAGCCUUCGGGCGGAAGAUGGUUGACUUAGCGGCGGAUGGGUGAGUAACGCGUGGGCAACCUGCCUCGAAGACCGGGAUAACAGCCCGAAAGGGCUGCUAAUACCGGAUGUGGUCAAAGAUCCGCAUGGAUUUUGAUUAAAGGGGAAACCCGUUUCGAGAUGGGCCCGCGUCCUAUCAGCUAGUUGGUGAGGUAAAAGCUCACCAAGGCGACGACGGGUAGCCGGCCUGAGAGGGUGACCGGCCACACUGGAACUGAGACACGGUCCAGACUCCUACGGGGGGCAGCAGUGGGGAAUCUUCCACAAUGGGCGAAAGCCUGAUGGAGCGACGCCGCGUGAGCGAAGAAGGCCUUCGGGUUGUAAAGCUCUGUCUGGAGGGACGAAGGAAGUGACGGUACCUCCGGAGGAAGCCACGGCUAACUACGUG